CCUACGGGAGGCAGCAGUAGGGAAUAUUGCUCAAUGGGGGAAACUCUGAAGCAGCAACGCCGCGUGGAGGAUGAAGGUUUUCGGAUUGUAAACUCCUUUUGUUAGAGAAGAUAAUAACGGUAUCUAACGAAUAAGCACCGGCUAACUCCGUGCCAGCAGCCGCGGUAAUACGGAGGGUGCAAGCGUUACUCGGAAUCACUGGGCGUAAAGAGCGCGUAGGCGGGAUAGCAAGUCAGAUGUGAAAUCCUAUGGCUUAACCAUAGAACUGCAUUUGAAACUGUUAGUCUAGAGUAUGGGAGAGGUAGGUGGAAUUCUUGGUGUAGGGGUAAAAUCCGUAGAGAUCAAGAGGAAUACUCAUUGCGAAGGCGACCUGCUAGAACAUAACUGACGCUGAUGCGCGAAAGCGUGGGGAGCAAACAGGAUUAGAUACCCGGGUAGUC
Molecule: ribosomal RNA, 440 nt
Filed under: uncultured bacterium
Lineage: Bacteria
Description: partial 16S ribosomal RNA
Rfam family: Bacterial small subunit ribosomal RNA
Source: RNAcentral